UACAGAGGUGGCAAGCGUUGUUCGGAAUUACUGGGCGUAAAGGGCGCGUAGGCGGCCAUCUAAGUCAGACGUGAAAUCCCCGGGCUCAACCCGGGAACUGCGUCCGAGACUGGCAGGCUCGAAUCCGGGAGAGGGGUGUGGAAUUCCAGGUGUAGCGGUGAAAUGCGUAGAUAUCUGGAGGAACACCGGUGGCGAAGGCGGCAUCCUGGACCGGUAUUGACGCUGAGGCGCGAAAGCCAGGGGAGCAAACGGG
This 253-nucleotide ribosomal RNA is filed under the name uncultured bacterium. RNAcentral describes it as "partial 16S ribosomal RNA". It matches the Rfam family "Bacterial small subunit ribosomal RNA", at positions 524 to 776 of the family's 1533-position model. The record is from RNAcentral.